This 30-nucleotide non-coding RNA is filed under the name Rattus norvegicus (Norway rat). Lineage: Eukaryota; Metazoa; Chordata; Mammalia; Rodentia; Muridae. The record is from RNAcentral.
UCUCACUGUCAGAGAUUUGUGCCUGCCUCU